Daphnia magna is the source of this 277-nucleotide long non-coding RNA. RefSeq lists it as uncharacterized. The record is from RefSeq and is a predicted model, not a curated record. NCBI's taxonomy places the organism in Eukaryota, Metazoa, Arthropoda, Branchiopoda, Diplostraca, Daphniidae. The transcript has 4 exons.
CACCAGCGUAAGAACAGUCUAAGGAUCCUCCUGAACUACUACCCUUUGCAAUUGGACAUUUUCCACUGUCACACACCAAUUUUUGCCUGUGUACCACGACACUUUUUACGUCAACACCCUUUGCAAUUGGACAUUUCCACUGUCACACAUCAACUUUGCCCGUGUACCACGACACUUUGACGUCGACAACAGCAUAGACGACACCAACAGCUCCGGUUCUCUUCCACAACGAGCCGACUACACCUUCCUACAUUCGGGAAUUCUACAACUAAAAAUG